Molecule: long non-coding RNA, 451 nt
Organism: Carassius carassius (crucian carp)
Lineage: Eukaryota; Metazoa; Chordata; Actinopteri; Cypriniformes; Cyprinidae
Exons: 2
Source: RefSeq, a predicted model, not a curated record
AAUUGCUCAGCGGGCAGUGAUACCGGCUUCAGCACUCUGUGCAUUUCUGUAUUGGUGGUAGCUCCGUCCCUUUACGCAUGUGAUUUGCCUAAAAGAAGAGGGUAGUAUUAACAGAUUGUUUACGUAAUAAGUAUAGUGACACAUAAUACCGGUACCGGUAGUACCUUAUAAUUCAUAAGAGUUUACAAAAAUCCAAUUAAUAACUUUCCAAAAAAAAAAAAGGAAUUGAACAAUGUAGUGUGGUAACAAAAACAAAAAAAACUUAUAUAAAUGUUAACAUUCUCCUAUACAAAAUAUGUAAAAUGGUAAAUGGACUGCAUUUAGGCUAUAUAGCGCUUUCAACAGACCCAUGGCCACCAAAGCGCUUUAAACAUCAUCAUAAACAUAUUAAACAUCAGGUAUUUACACGUGCAUAGGGAAAGGUACUACUUCAGCAAAAACCAAAAAAACA